GUUCUUGAGAUGCCCAUUUCAAGAUCUUCAGGCUCCAGGGCUUCUCAGUGCUGGAGCAUUUGGAAAGUUGACAAUCAGGCUUGCACUUUCCUUGCACGCUCUGAUCUGAAAAAACCUUCUAGUAGAUUGGCAUUUACUCUUGGUGAUUCAGUGAAACCAAAGACAAGAGACAACAUAACAGCUGACAUGAAAAUCAGAUGCUUUUCUGUGACUCUAUUGGACAGCUUAUGCGGAAUGGUAACACCUCUUUUUGA
Molecule: unclassified non-coding RNA, 254 nt
Filed under: Hevea brasiliensis (rubber tree)
Lineage: Eukaryota; Viridiplantae; Streptophyta; Magnoliopsida; Malpighiales; Euphorbiaceae
Source: RNAcentral